GGGACUAUAGUUAAUAAUAACAUUUGAGUUGCAUUCAAAAAGUACUGCCUGGGCAGUUAGCCUCA
RNAcentral lists this transfer RNA (65 nucleotides) under Furculitermes longilabius. RNAcentral's name for it is "tRNA-Ala". The record is from RNAcentral. Lineage: Eukaryota; Metazoa; Arthropoda; Insecta; Blattodea; Termitidae. RNAcentral also lists the same sequence under 1 other name.